CCUACGGGAGGCAGCAGUAGGGAAUCUUGCGCAAUGGGCGAAAGCCUGACGCAGCGACGCCGCGUGAGCGAUGAAGGCCUUCGGGUUGUAAAGCUCUGUGGAGAGAGAAGAAUAAGUGCAAGCUAAUACCUUGCAUGAUGACGGUAUCUCUUUAGCAAGCACCGGCUAACUCUGUGCCAGCAGCCGCGGUAAGACAGAGGGUGCAAACGUUGUUCGGAAUCACUGGGCGUAAAGCGCGUGUAGGUGGCUUGGCAAGUCGGGCGUGAAAUCCCGGGGCUCAACCCCGGAAGUGCACUCGAAACUGCCUCGCUAGAGUCCUGGAGAGGAAGGUGGAAUACUUGGUGUAGAGGUGAAAUUCGUAGAUAUCAAGUAGAACACCGGUGGCGAAGGCGGCCUUCUGGACAGUGACUGACGCUGAGACGCGAAAGCGUGGGGAGCAA
Molecule: ribosomal RNA, 440 nt
Filed under: uncultured bacterium
Lineage: Bacteria
Description: bacterial SSU rRNA
Rfam family: Bacterial small subunit ribosomal RNA
Source: RNAcentral